RNAcentral lists this ribosomal RNA (793 nucleotides) under uncultured bacterium. RNAcentral's name for it is "bacterial SSU rRNA". It matches the Rfam family "Bacterial small subunit ribosomal RNA", at positions 8 to 796 of the family's 1533-position model. The record is from RNAcentral.
AGAGUUUGAUCAUGGCUCAGGAUGAACGCUAGCGGCAGGCUUAAUACAUGCAAGUCGAGGGGCAACAGGGGUAGCAAUACCUGCUGGCGACCGGCAAACGGGUGCGCAACACGUACAGAACCUUCCUUUAAGCGGGGGAUAGCCCGGAGAAAUCCGGAUUAAUACCCCAUGGUAUUUUGGUGUGGCAUCACAUUAAAAUUAAAGAUUUAUCACUUAAAGAUGGCUGUGCGUCUGAUUAGGUAGUUGGUUGAGGUAACGGCUCACCAAGCCAACGAUCAGUAACUGGUGUGAGAGCACGACCAGUCACACGGGCACUGAGACACGGGCCCGACUCCUACGGGAGGCAGCAGUAAGGAAUAUUGGUCAAUGGACGCAAGUCUGAACCAGCCAUGCCGCGUGAAGGAUGACGGUCCUCUGGAUUGUAAACUUCUUUUAUAUGGGAAGAAAUGCCUGCUUUCUAGCGGGUUUGACGGUACCAUAGGAAUAAGCACCGGCUAACUCCGUGCCAGCAGCCGCGGUAAUACGGAGGGUGCAAGCGUUAUCCGGAUUCACUGGGUUUAAAGGGUGCGUAGGUGGGAAUGUAAGUCAGUGGUGAAAUCUCCGUGCUUAACAUGGAAACUGCCAUUGAUACUAUGUUUCUUGAAUUUUCUGGAGGUUAGCGGAAUAUGUCUGUAGCGGUGAAAUGCUUAGAUAUGACAUAGAACACCAAUUGCGAAGGCAGCUAGCUACAGGGAUAUUGACACUGAGGCACGAAAGCGUGGGGAUCAAACAGGAUUAGAUACCCUAGUAGUCC